This 257-nucleotide ribosomal RNA is filed under the name Salmonella enterica. Its description in RNAcentral is "partial 16S ribosomal RNA". It matches the Rfam family "Bacterial small subunit ribosomal RNA", at positions 884 to 1141 of the family's 1533-position model. Lineage: Bacteria; Pseudomonadati; Pseudomonadota; Gammaproteobacteria; Enterobacterales; Enterobacteriaceae. The record is from RNAcentral.
GGCCGCAAGGUUAAAACUCAAAUGAAUUGACGGGGGCCCGCACAAGCGGUGGAGCAUGUGGUUUAAUUCGAUGCAACGCGAAGAACCUUACCUGGUCUUGACAUCCACAGAAGAAUCCAGAGAUGGAUUUGUGCCUUCGGGAACUGUGAGACAGGUGCUGCAUGGCUGUCGUCAGCUCGUGUUGUGAAAUGUUGGGUUAAGUCCCGCAACGAGCGCAACCCUUAUCCUUUGUUGCCAGCGGUUAGGCCGGGAACUCA